AAUAAUUUUAUUUUUCAUUUUUUCGUAUCCAACGCUUGACCAUUCGUCUUAUUUAAAAAAUUUAUAAAAAAACUAAAAAAAAUUAGUCACGUAUAAAAUACUAUUCAUAUUUUAUCAUCUAGUAACAAUAGAAAUAUUAAUCGCAAAAAAAUUCAAAUAAGACGAAUGGUCAAACGUUGGACACGGAAAAAC
This is a non-coding RNA of Oryza brachyantha (malo sina), 192 nucleotides long. The record is from Rfam. NCBI's taxonomy places the organism in Eukaryota, Viridiplantae, Streptophyta, Magnoliopsida, Poales, Poaceae.